RNAcentral lists this transfer RNA (73 nucleotides) under Rhodothermaceae bacterium RA. It matches the Rfam family "tRNA". Rfam says of the family: Transfer RNA (tRNA) molecules are approximately 80 nucleotides in length. The record is from Rfam by way of RNAcentral. Lineage: Bacteria; Pseudomonadati; Rhodothermota; Rhodothermia; Rhodothermales; Rhodothermaceae. RNAcentral also lists the same sequence under 1 other name.
GCGGAAGUAGCUCAGCUGGUAGAGCAUUUGCUUGCCAUGCAAAAGGUCGCGGGUUCGAAUCCCGUCUUCCGCU